RNAcentral lists this ribosomal RNA (230 nucleotides) under uncultured bacterium. RNAcentral describes it as "partial 16S ribosomal RNA". It matches the Rfam family "Bacterial small subunit ribosomal RNA", at positions 562 to 791 of the family's 1533-position model. The record is from RNAcentral.
AAAGGGAGCGUAGGCGGCGCGGUAAGUCGGAUGUGAAAUCCCGGGGCUCAACCCCGGAACUGCAUCUGAUACUGCCGUGCUAGAGUAAUGGAGGGGUAGCUGGAAUUCUCGGUGUAGCAGUGAAAUGCGUAGAUAUCGAGAGGAACACUCGUGGCGAAAGCGAGCUACUGGACAUUUACUGACGCUGAGGCUCGAAGGCUAGGGGAGCGAAAGGGAUUAGAUACCCUUGU